AUACGUAGGGUGCAAGCGUUAAUCGGAAUUACUGGGCGUAAAGCGUGCGCAGGCGGUUUUGUAAGACCGUGGUGAAAUCCCCGGGCUCACACUGGGGACCGCCAUUGUGACUGCAAGGGCUGAGUGUGGCCGAGGGGGGUGGAAUUCCGCGUGUAGCGGGGGAAUGCGUAGAUAUGCGGAGGAACACCGAUGGCGAAGGCAAUCCACUGGGCCUGCACUGACGCUCAUGCACGAAAGCGUGGGGAGCAAACAGGAUUAGAUACCCUGGUAGUCCACGCCCUAAACGAUGUCAACUGGUUGUUGGGGAUUUAUUUUCUCAGUAACGAAGCUAACGCGUGAAGUUGACCGCCUGGGGAGUACGGCCGCAAGGUUAAAACUCAAAGGAAUUGGCGGGG
Molecule: ribosomal RNA, 395 nt
Filed under: uncultured bacterium
Lineage: Bacteria
Description: partial 16S ribosomal RNA
Rfam family: Bacterial small subunit ribosomal RNA
Source: RNAcentral